Oncorhynchus keta (chum salmon) is the source of this 1728-nucleotide long non-coding RNA. RefSeq lists it as uncharacterized. The record is from RefSeq and is a predicted model, not a curated record. The transcript has 7 exons. Lineage: Eukaryota; Metazoa; Chordata; Actinopteri; Salmoniformes; Salmonidae.
GUUGACUCCCUGUACAAUACCUCUCCCUUUCACUUCACUCUAAGUACUCUUAACAAUAUCUUGAAAUAUAGUUUCUGGUUAUUUGUUUUCAGUCAAGUCAUAUUAUUGAGGACUGCAGGGUGGGAGAUGCAACAAUGUCCUUGAGAACAGCAGGAAGUGUGUUGGUGGUCUUUCUCUGGUCUGUAGCAGUGGUACUGGGUCAGGAUGGCUGGAGUGUUACAUACACCACUCAGAGUAUCUGUACCUUGAAGGGGUCAUCAGUGGAUCUGUUCUGCUCUUACACAUAUCCCAGUGGUCAUAAAGUCACAACAACCUUCUGGUUCACUGAAAUUGUAAAUCUGAGAGACGACCCAGACAACAAAGGUCGUGUGACGUACCGUAGUGAUAGGAUGAAUGGCCACACCCUGAAAAUCACAGACCUGAGAGAGAGUGACUCAGCUGAGUACAAGUUCACAUUUAUAACAGAUCAGACUGGAGAGAAAUAUACUGGUGAUCCUGGAGUCACUCUGUCUGUUACAGGUACAGUAACAUUCUAUAUACUGGUGAUCCUGGAGUCACUCUGUCUGUUACAGGUACAGUUACAUUCUAUAUACUGGUGAUCCUGGAGUCACUCUGUCUGUAACAGGUAACAUUCUAUAUACUGGUGAUCCUGGAGUCACUCUGUCUGUUACAGGUACAGUUACAUUCUAUAUACUGGUGAUCCUGGAGUCACUCUGUCUGUUACAGGUACAGUUACAUUCUAUAUACUGGCGAUCCUGGAGUCACUCUGUUACAGGUACAGUAACAUUCUAUAUACUGGUGAUCCUGGAGUCACUCUGUUACAGGUACAGUUACAUUCUAUAUACUGGUGAUCCUGGAGUCACUCUGUCUGUUACAGGUACAGUUACAUUCUAUAUACUGGUGAUCCUGGAGUCACUCUGUUACAGGUACAGUAACAUUCUAUAUACUGGUGAUCCUGGAGUCACUCUGUUACAGGUACAGUAACAUUCUAUAUACUGGUGAUCCUGGAGUCACUCUGUCUGUUACAGGUACAGUUACAUUAUAUAUACUGGUGAUCCUGGAGUCACUCUGUCUGUUACAGGUACAGUAACAUUCUAUAUACUGGUGAUCCUGGAGUCACUUUGUAACAGACCUGCAGGUGAAGGUGGCCACUACAUGGUGGUCAACUACACUGACCUGUAGCACCACCUGUACUCUGACUGGUAACCCCACCUACACCUGGUACAGGAACAGUAAGAUUGUACAAAAGGACCCCUCCCCUCGUACACAUUCUACUUUAAAAGUGAAGACAGCUUCUACUGUGCUGUAAAAGGCAUCAAUUCUCCUGCAGUGUACGGCCCAAAGAAAACCUCAGUGUCAGUCAGUCCCUCUGGUGAAAUAGUGGAGGGCAGUUCAGUGACUCUGACCUGCAGCAGUGAUGCCAACCCACCUGUGGACAAAUACACCUGGUACAAGAAGAACGUAACCUCACCAAAAGCAUCAGGACAGAGUUACAGCAUCACUAACAUCAUCUCUGAGGACAGAGGAGAAUAUUACUGUGAGGCCCAGAAUACAAUAGCUUCUAAGAUCUCUACAGCUCAGAUGAUCAUUGUAACAGGGAAACAAACCUCAGUUCUGACUGCAGCUGUAGGGAUCACAGUGUUUAUUCUGGUUCUCAUCCUCUUUCUCCCUUGCUUCAUGUGGUUCAGGAGAUCCACAGGAGGAAGUGAUGUCACAGCAGACACACAG